CGAACGAGAGCUUGCUCUUGUUCGGUCAGCGGCGGACGGGUGAGUAACACGUGGGCAACCUGCCCGCAAGACCGGGAUAACUCCGGGAAACCGGAGCUAAUACCGGAUAACACCAAAGACCGCAUGGUCUUUGGUUGAAAGGCGGCUUCGGCUGNCACUUGCGGAUGGGCCCGCGGCGCAUUAGCUAGUUGGUGAGGUAACGGCUCACCAAGGCGACGAUGCGUAGCCGGCCUGAGAGGGUGACCGGCCACACUGGGACUGAGACACGGCCCAGACUCCUACGGGAGGCAGCAGUAGGGAAUCUUCCGCAAUGGACGAAAGUCUGACGGAGCGACGCCGCGUGAGCGAAGAAGGCCUUCGGGUCGUAAAGCUCUGUUGUGAGGGACGAAGGAGCGCCGUUUGAAUAAGGCGGCGCGGUGACGGUACCUCACGAGAAAGCCCCGGCUAACUACGUGCCAGCAGCCGCGGUAAUACGUAGGGGGCGAGCGUUGUCCGGAAUUAUUGGGCGUAAAGCGCGCGCAGGCGGUCCUUUAAGUCUGAUGUGAAAGCCCACGGCUCAACCGUGGAGGGUCAUUGGAAACUGGGGGACUU
RNAcentral lists this ribosomal RNA (591 nucleotides) under Geobacillus sp. RNAcentral's name for it is "bacterial SSU rRNA". It matches the Rfam family "Bacterial small subunit ribosomal RNA", at positions 69 to 643 of the family's 1533-position model. Lineage: Bacteria; Bacillati; Bacillota; Bacilli; Caryophanales; Anoxybacillaceae. The record is from RNAcentral.